This 289-nucleotide ribosomal RNA is filed under the name Bathylagus antarcticus (Antarctic deepsea smelt). RNAcentral describes it as "partial 18S ribosomal RNA". It matches the Rfam family "Eukaryotic small subunit ribosomal RNA", at positions 1313 to 1622 of the family's 1831-position model. The record is from RNAcentral. Lineage: Eukaryota; Metazoa; Chordata; Actinopteri; Argentiniformes; Bathylagidae.
GUCUGGUUAAUUCCGAUAACGAACGAGACUCCGGCAUGCUAACUAGUUAUGCGGCCCCGAGUGGUCUGCAGUCAACUUCUUAGAGGGACAAGUGGCUCUCAGCCACACGAGAUUGAGCAAUAACAGGUCUGUGAUGCCCUUAGAUGUCCGGGGCUGCACGCGCGCCACACUGAGCGGAUCAGCGUGUGUCUACCCUUCGCCGAGAGGCGUGGGUAACCCGAUGAACCCCACUCGUGAUAGGGAUUGGGGAUUGCAAUUCUUUCCCAUGAACGAGGAAUUCCCAGUAAGC